CAAGAAAAAAUACUUCCCCCAACUUGGUUUAGGGUCCUUUGGUGUCCCUAUCACUUAUUUAUGGCACUAAUUUUUUUUUUCUUGCUUUUUAGGGCCACUUGCGGCAUAUGAAAGUUCCCAGAGUAGGGAUCAAAUGGAAGCUGCAGCUGCUGGUCUACACCACAGCCAUAGAAACACCAGAUCCAAGCAGCAUCUGAGACCUACACCACAGCUCUCAGCAACACCGCAUCCUUAACCCAUCGAGUGAAGCCAGGGAUAGAACUCGAAUCCUCAUGGUUACUAGUCAGGUUCGUUACGGCUGAGCCACAAGGGGAACGCCUAUUGUCCUGAAACUUGAUAAAAAUCCAUAAAUCCCCAAUACUACAGCAGUUUGAGGCGUUUUCAGGACAGUAGCAUCCUUUGACAGUGUACCCUAAAUGAGGAGCCCCUGAGGUCGCCUUGCUGCAACACAGGGACCAGUCAGAUUGGGCUGCGGGGGGGGGGGGGUCCCCUCCCUGCCCCUCCCCCUUAUCAUUUUUUUGCAGGCUCCCAGUGCUUAAAAAAAAAAACACUCAGGGCCAAGAGGUUUAGUGAUACACGAGGAAAAUGACUGGCAGUAGUGGCCAGGAGGACCUGUUCUCACCGCCUCUCAGCACAAACCCCCACCCCAGAUCUCUAGAAACGGGGUUCCCUGCGCAACUGGAGUGAGAGUGGUGGACGAAGUAGAGGACUCUGCCGGCUCUUUCAGCUCCGCCCCUCACCUGAGCAAUCCCUCAGGUAGAAACCCACUUUUUUCUUUCUUAUCACAUUAAUUCUGGAAGCUAACUGCUACUGUCCUGGGGAGGGGAACAGGCGUUUUCUCCGAAAGGACUGACGGCAGCAACAAAUGGGAGAGACAACAGGCAAGCUUGUGAAAUCCCAAACCGGAUUGGCCCCUUGAUCUGUAACACCAGCCAGCUUCAUCAUCUCGCUGAUCACCCCAGGAAAGGAACCACCUGCAGGCUGCCUGGUGGCUCGGAGGUGUCCUGAGUGACCAUACUGCUUCCUACCGGCGCUCUGGGCUGGAUGCUGACAAAGCCAGAUGGGUAACUUU
This 1072-nucleotide long non-coding RNA is filed under the name Sus scrofa (pig). RNAcentral's name for it is "lncRNA (ENSSSCG00070021404.1)". Lineage: Eukaryota; Metazoa; Chordata; Mammalia; Artiodactyla; Suidae. The record is from RNAcentral.